AUGAACGCUGGCGGCGUGCCUAAUACAUGCCAGUCGAGCGAACAGACGAGGAGCUUGCUCCUCUGACGUUAGCGGCGGACGGGUGAGUAACACGUGGAUAACCUACCUAUAAGACUGGGAUAACUUCGGGAAACCGGAGCUAAUACCGGAUAAUAUAUUGAACCGCAUGGUUCAAUAGUGAAAAACGGUUUUGCUGUCACUUAUAGAUGGAUCCGCGCCGCAUUAGCUAGUUGGUAAGGUAACGGCUUACCAAGGCGACGAUGCGUAGCCGACCUGAGAGGGUGAUCCGCCACACUGGAACUGAGACACGGUCCAGACUCCUACGGGAGGCAGCAGUAGGGAAUCUUCCGCCAUGGGCGAAAGCCUGACGGAGCAACGCCGCGUGAGUGAUGAAGGUCUUCGGAUCGUAAGACUCUGUUAUUAGGGAAGAACAAAUGUGUAAGUAACUAUGCACGUCUUGACGGUACCUAAUCAGAAAGCCACGGCUAACUACGUG
Molecule: ribosomal RNA, 496 nt
Filed under: uncultured bacterium
Lineage: Bacteria
Description: partial 16S ribosomal RNA
Rfam family: Bacterial small subunit ribosomal RNA
Source: RNAcentral